This is a long non-coding RNA of Osmerus eperlanus (European smelt), 595 nucleotides long. RefSeq lists it as uncharacterized. The record is from RefSeq and is a predicted model, not a curated record. NCBI's taxonomy places the organism in Eukaryota, Metazoa, Chordata, Actinopteri, Osmeriformes, Osmeridae. The transcript has 2 exons.
GGUGGGGGUAUAAAGAUAGAGGAGGAUUAGCAUGAGGGAUGGUGCACAGCCUGUGUUUCUGCCAUUUUCUCAAUUUUUUUGCGUCCAAUUUCAUCACCAUCACCUCUUCAUGAUAGCUUUGUUGGUUUUUUUCUUCGUUUUUAAUACUUCCUGUAUGUCAGCGUAUGUACUUCCUGUAUGUCAGGGUGUGUACUUCCUGUAUGUCUGCAUGUGUGUAGGAAUAGGGAAGCCAAGUUGGUGGACCUACAUGAAAAACUGACAAUAGGCUUCCUUAGUACACCUGUAUUUCUGUGUCGUCUGUCUCUCUCUUUGUUGUCUAUAAGGGCAUCUGUGGUGGAACAAUCUACCUUUUGCCAUUUUGUGUAAAUGCAUUGACAGCAAUUGAUAAGUACAGUGUUGUGUGUGUGUGUGUGUCUAUCAUUAUGUCCGUCAUGUUAUGACAGUAGGCAGGUUGUGAGAAAGAACAUGUCAGUGAUAAUAAGCAGUGCACUCAGAUUAUAAACAAUAACGCCAUCUUUUCUAGUCAUCUAAAUCAAUGUGUAAACCUGUAUUUUCAAAAAGCGGUUUAAUAAAAAAUAAACUCAUCAUGAUGGUU